AACGAACGCUGGCGGCAUGCCUAACACAUGCAAGUCGAACGAGACCUUCGGGUCUAGUGGCGCACGGGUGCGUAACGCGUGAGAACCUGCCCUUAGGUUCGGAAUAACUCCCCGAAAGGGGUGCUAAUACCGGAUAAUGUCUUCGGACCAAAGAUUUAUCGCCUUUGGAUGGGCCCGCGUUGGAUUAGCUAGUUGGUAGGGUAAAAGCCUACCAAGGCGACGAUCCAUAGCUGGUCUGAGAGGAUGAUCAGCCACACUGGGACUGAGACACGGCCCAGACUCCUACGGGAGGCAGCAGUGGGGAAUAUUGGACAAUGGGCGAAAGCCUGAUCCAGCAAUGCCGCGUGAGUGAUGAAGGCCUUAGGGUUGUAAAGCUCUUUUACCCGGGAUGAUAAUGACAGUACCGGGAGAAUAAGCUCCAGCUAACUCCGUG
RNAcentral lists this ribosomal RNA (433 nucleotides) under uncultured bacterium. RNAcentral describes it as "partial 16S ribosomal RNA". It matches the Rfam family "Bacterial small subunit ribosomal RNA", at positions 29 to 507 of the family's 1533-position model. The record is from RNAcentral.